RNAcentral lists this transfer RNA (89 nucleotides) under Bacillota bacterium. RNAcentral's name for it is "Firmicutes bacterium (gut metagenome) tRNA-Ser". It matches the Rfam family "tRNA". From Rfam's summary of the family: Transfer RNA (tRNA) molecules are approximately 80 nucleotides in length. Their secondary structure includes four short double-helical elements and three loops (D, anti-codon, and T loops). Lineage: Bacteria; Bacillati; Bacillota. The record is from RNAcentral.
GGAGACGUAUCGAAGCGGUCAUAACGAGCGCGACUGGAAAUCGCGUUGCCUUAACGGGCACGAGGGUUCAAAUCCCUCCGUCUCCGCCA